This 244-nucleotide ribosomal RNA is filed under the name uncultured bacterium. RNAcentral's name for it is "partial 16S ribosomal RNA". It matches the Rfam family "Bacterial small subunit ribosomal RNA", at positions 533 to 776 of the family's 1533-position model. The record is from RNAcentral.
UGCAAGCGUUAUUCGGAUUCACUGGGCGUAAAGGGUGCGCAGGCGGCCAAGUGUGUGAGGCGUGAAAGCCUGGAGCUUAACUCCAGAAUUGCACCUCAAACUACUUGGCUAGAGCAUUGGAGAGGGUAGCAGAAUUCAUGGUGUAGCAGUGAAAUGCGUAGAUAUCGGGAGGAACACCGGUGGCGAAGGCGGCGGCCUGGGUUGACACUGACGCUGAGGCGCGAAAGCGUGGGGAGCAAACAGG